RNAcentral lists this long non-coding RNA (1566 nucleotides) under Gallus gallus (chicken). Its description in RNAcentral is "lncRNA (ENSGALG00010015812.1)". Lineage: Eukaryota; Metazoa; Chordata; Aves; Galliformes; Phasianidae. The record is from RNAcentral.
AGGUGGCAAGGAGAGACAGGUAUCAUGGAGGAAACUUCAGAGAUCAUGCAGAUUUCAGUAGUAGAUUUCUUAUUCUGUUUGGCAGAAAUGUCUGCUUUGCAGAGUUGAUUCAAAGUGCUAUUGAAUUCUCCCUCAACCCCUGCCAGAACAUGAGAGCCACAUUGGCCGUGCUGGAGAAAGGCAUAAAAUGCCUUCUAUUCUAAGUACAUAUGGACCCCUGGCAACUGCAGAGGUAAUCAUUAACUCUGACUUCCCUUUGUUCUCCUGCCAGCUUGCUAAGUGCGUAACUGUGCUUGUGGCAGUCAGGGGGUUCUGACCCACUCAUACUAAAAGAUGUAGUGGAGAACGAAAGAGGUCAUGGACUAAGCCUCUCCAUGAAAUGGAGAGCAACACUUGUGCUGCAGCAACCUUGUAAUGUGAAAGAUCAUCCUGAGGACUUCAGGUGUGUGAAGACCCGUUUGAAGAAACAAAGGAAAGUGCCAGGUGUUGUUUUUGAGAUGGAAAUGCACUCAGCAGCAGGUAGAAGCCCAGACAUCCUUGUUCUACAGGGACGUGGAAUUCUGUGUGCUGACUUUGGGAGGAGUGCUGGACAAUGUGGGAAGAUCUCCAUCUUAACUCUGUAUGAGAGCAAGAGGGCAAAAAGAAUGAAAUGAAGCAGAAAAAGAAUCUCCUCUAACUCAGAAGUCACCUGAAUUGCAAGAGCUGCACUUCUGCUUUCACUCUGCCGUGGAUUUGCAUUGUCUGAUGCCAGAGACAGGAGUCCUGACACUCACCAGCCUGCCUUGGAGAAGAGUAGACAGUUUGUACCUCAGAAACCACUGGCCCUGAAAGAAUAGGUACAUUAAAUAUUAGCAGUUUCCAGUCCUCACCCUGGCCUAGCUGUCAGCGAGUUCAUUUGCUUGUCUGGAGGGACCACAGGAAUGUAGGAGUCAAGGGGAAAUAUCACAAGAGUGAUGGACUGUGAGGCUCCCAGGUUCCCUCUGCCAUUGCAGAGCUCUUCGACCUAUUGUAAUCGUCACCAGACAAAAUGAGUCUUUUUCCUUCCAGACAGAUUGGAGGCAAAGGACAGUGCUUUAGAGUCAAUGUUACAUUUAAGAAACAACAUGCAAUUCAAACCUUGUAAUUAUCAUGAUUUUUCAGCUUCUAUUUCUUCCCCACUGACAAAAGAAAGAAAAUAAGGACUUUCAUGGAAAACUAAAUUAAGGUGAAGGCUGAUAUCUUAAUAGGCUCUGCCUAGAUCUGUGCAUCUCAAUUCUUGAUGGGCCUCCAGUUUGUUCCUGUACUGAUUGCUGUCCUCGGUGCUGCAGUUUUUUGAGGUGAUCCCUUCCUUGUCGUGUGAAGCUUUCCCAGCCUGAUUUUAAGUCUGGUCAGGUUCCUCCUGCUUCCUCCCAUUCUGGUCCAACCAGAAGAUGUGGGAGCAAUUGCAGUAGGUUCCUCAGAAGCUUCACAGACGGAAUGAGAAAACUAAGCCAGAACAAACCAGCCCUUGCAAGGUUUGAAGAAACAGCAGUGUCAGAUUUGGGGACAGAAUGGAAAAACUAUGUUUUCACAUCUUCUGACAUGCCC